RNAcentral lists this long non-coding RNA (2260 nucleotides) under Canis lupus familiaris (dog). RNAcentral describes it as "lncRNA (ENSCAFG00040003414.1)". Lineage: Eukaryota; Metazoa; Chordata; Mammalia; Carnivora; Canidae. The record is from RNAcentral.
GUCCAUUCUCAAGCCCGAUCACCCAGAUGGAACAGAGAAAUCUGUUACCGGCCUCUGAACAUCAACAGCGCAUAAUUAGCAGCUGCUAAAAUAAUGGAAGUCAAUUGAACAAAAAUGUGGCGCGUUCUGCCUUCAUUUAUUAAAUACCUUAUGUUUCCAAACACUGUGCUCCACAGCGGCUGAAGAGCCUUGGAGGGGCAUCGCAGCAAGUAUCCCUCCCUGGGCACCAGACACAGAGAACCGACUGACUUUUGUGAUGAACUUUCCAAAGAGCUGUUGCUACAGCCGACCAACCGGCAAGCCGGCCGAGGGACCCGACUACUUCCCCUGGGCCCGACGACAGAAUAGAUUUGUCGCAAGCAAACUGUAAGUGGGCUGCCAUCAUCAAAGAAAUCAGCAGCCCGUCUCCCUGGGAGACUGCAACCCCCCACAUUUAUCUAAAUUAUCUCGGUAAUAUGACAGAGUGAUUGCUCACUAAUGGUCAAUAACAGUUUUCUUUGUCAUUUUCCUAGUCAUUACCUCCUGAGAAUGAACUCCCGAGUACACUGCUUGCAGCCCGUGACUGGAAUGUUAAUUUCGUCCUGCGUCCCCGGCUGGCUCCCUUCAACGGUACUGGGCUCUCGCAUUUCUGACAUUUUUCGUUUUGUAAAAAUGAAUACCUGCCUUAGAAAGCCUGAUGAACGCAGAGAUACUUUACAUGCAAACACACACACACACACACACACACACACACACACACACACACACAAAUGCUGUUCCCAUUUCCCCCUGUCUUUCAUCUGACAAAGCGGGUAGUGACUGCGAGCUCAGAAUUGGCUGGCGGAGGUGUCUGCUGGUGUGUGGGCUCCAUUUCUGGGGCUUUAUCAAGCCCUGUCUCCGAUUUUCCCAUUUCAGACAAUCUUCCUUUGAAGACGUGGAUGACAUAGUAAAACCGAUUGCACUUGAGAGCCGAUUCCAUGACUAUUUUGCUGCAACAGCUCAACAGCCUUUUGUUCCAGAGCGUGUUACGGUUUCACAGAGGAGAGGGAGACUCGAGGCUGCAUGACUUGGUAUCACCUUGGAGAGGAUGAAUUUGUUUGAACGAGACUUGCAGGUGUUCUCUUGGAAAACUUCAAAACUCAACAGGGCUGCGAGACAGGAGUAAGUAAAACCAGCUUGCUGGAGAAGGGUGUACAUAACGGCCUUAGUGAAGCAUUCAAGGCCACAAAGCUAGGCCCCUCCUAAGUAGGCAGACAGCAGAAAUUGUACCGCAAAGAUUCUCACUUCACUGAGAAAACCCCCGAUGUUUCCAGGAACUGGUCCUGCUUUCAAGAAGCAAUGAGGGGGGAUCCCUGGGUGGCUCAGCAGUUUAGCGCCACCUUCGGCACAGGGCGAGAUCCUGGAGUCCCAGGAUCGAGUCCCACAUCAGGUUCCCUGCAUGGAGCCUGCUUCUUCCUCUGCCUGUGUCUCUGCUUCUCUCUCUCUCUCUCUCUCUCUCUCUCUGUGUCUCUCAUGAGUAACUAAAUAAAUUCUUUUUUUUAAAAAAAAAGACGCAAUGAGGAGGAACCUCAGCAACAGCAAUGGGAGGUUGGGGUUGUUACAUAACAAAAAUGCAGCCAAGUAAAUUUUAAAGAUCUAACUGGCUUUACUAAUUGAGUCAUGAAUCAAGCAGCAUCCUUUCCAGCAGGCGGCGCCGAACUCCAAAGAGCUAAAGAAAAGGAAAGGUAUUUAUUUAUUUAUUUAUUUAUUUAUUUAUUUAUUUAUCUAAAGAUUUUAUUUAUUUCUUUUGAGAGCAAGAGCGAGAGAGAGCACAACUGGACAGAGAGGCAGGGGGAGAGGUAGAAGCAGACUCCCCGCUGAGCAGAGGGAGUGACCCUCCUGGAUCUCAGGACCCUGGGAUCAUGACCUGAGCCAAAAUCAGAUGAUUAACCCAUCUCAGCCACCCAGGCGCCCUUAAAAGAGGCAUUCUUGUCAUAUGUGAAACCACACAUGAAUUCACAUGGUUGAAGUUUACAAGACUUUGGAAUCGAAUCCACAGAUCGGAGAUGAAUGCUCAUUAACAAUCGCUUCCUUGACACAUAGAGAUGGAAAAAUAUUCCAUGCUCAUGGAUUGCAGAUUAAUAUUGUGAAAAUGUCAAUGUUACCAGGGCAAUAUACACGUUUAAUGCAAUCCCUAUCAAAAUACCAUGGACUUUCUUCAGAGAGUUAGAACAAAUUAUUUUAAGAUUUGUGUGGAAUCAGAAAAGACCCCGAAUAGCCAGGGGAAUUUUAAAAAAGAAAA